This 392-nucleotide ribosomal RNA is filed under the name Anopheles carnevalei. Its description in RNAcentral is "partial 28S ribosomal RNA". Lineage: Eukaryota; Metazoa; Arthropoda; Insecta; Diptera; Culicidae. The record is from RNAcentral.
UUCGGAAAAAGGGACAGCUACUAGAUGGUUCGAUUGGUCUUUCGCCCCUAUGCCCAAUUCUGACAAUCGAUUUGCACGUCAGAAUUGCUUCGGUCCUCCAUCAGGGUUUCCCCUGACUUCAACCUGAUCAGGCAUAGUUCACCAUCUUUCGGGUCGCAUCCUACGCACUCGGGGGAUGCCCGCUGGGUGGCGCACGUGUGACCGCACGCCAGCCCGUACCGGGGCACCCUGGGAUGGAGGGAGGCGUCCGUGGCUUGCGCCAAGCGCGCCCCCGUAAUCCCGCGACGAAACCGUCUCGAGUUGUCUGCGCCUGUGGGGUUCUCGGUUGCUGGGUCGGACCCACGGAUGGGUCCGCCCACGCCGCCCAUUGGCUCGCGCGUAAGAUAGACUUC